GGGGUAACGGCCCACCAAGGCACCGAUCGGUAGGGGUUCUGAGAGGAAGGUCCCCCACAUUGGAACUGAGACACGGUCCAAACUCCUACGGGAGGCAGCAGUGAGGAAUAUUGGUCAAUGGGCGGAAGCCUGAACCAGCCAAGUAGCGUGCAGGACGACGGCCCUAUGGGUUGUAAACUGCUUUUAUGCGGGGAUAAAGUGCGCCACGCGUGGCUCAUUGCAGGUACCGCAUGAAUAAGGACCGGCUAAUUCCGUGCCAGCAGCCGCGGUAAUACGGAAGGUCCGGGCGUUAUCCGGAUUUAUUGGGUUUAAAGGGAGCGUAGGCCGCGGGUUAAGUGUGUUGUGAAAUGUGGACGCUCAACGUCCGAUGUGCAGCGCAUACUGGCCCGCUUGAGUGCGCGCAACGCAGGCGGAAUUCGUCGNGUAGCGGUGAAAUGCUUAGAUAUGACGAGGAACCCCGAUUGGGAAGGCAGCUUGCGGGAGCGCAACUGACGCUGAAGCUCGAAAGGUGCGGGUAUCGAACAGGAUUAGAUACCCUGGUAGUCCGCACGGUAAACUAUGGAUGCCCGCUGUCGGCUUUUUUAGCCGGCGGCCAAGCGAAAGCAUUAAGCAUCCCACCUGGGGAGUACGCCGGCAACGGUGAAACUCAAAGGAAUUGACGGGGGCCCGCACAAGCGGAGGAACAUGUGGUUUAAUUCGAUGAUACGCGAGGAACCUUACCCGGGCUUGAAUUGCAGCGGAACGAGGCAGAGAUGCCGAGGUCCUCCGGGACUGCUGCGAAGGUGCUGCAUGGUUGUCGUCAGCUCGUGCCGUGAGGUGUCGGCUUAAGUGCCAUAACGAGCGCAACCCCCCUCUCCAGUUGCCAUCGGGUCGUGCCGGGCACUUUGGAGACACUGCCGCCGCAAGGUGCGAGGAAGGUGGGGACGACGUCAAAUCAGCACGGCCCUUACGUCCGGGGCUACACACGUGUUACAAUGGCCGGUACAGAGGGCAGGUGCUGCGCAAGCCGCAUCGAAUCUUGAAAGCCGGUCCCAGUUCGGACUGGGGUCUGCAACCCGACCCCACGAAGCUGGAUUCGCUAGUAAUCGC
This 1089-nucleotide ribosomal RNA is filed under the name Prevotella dentasini. RNAcentral describes it as "bacterial SSU rRNA". It matches the Rfam family "Bacterial small subunit ribosomal RNA", at positions 254 to 1345 of the family's 1533-position model. The record is from RNAcentral. Lineage: Bacteria; Pseudomonadati; Bacteroidota; Bacteroidia; Bacteroidales; Prevotellaceae.